GAGUUUGAGUGGCUCAGGACGAACGCUGGCGGCGUGCUUAACACAUGCAAGUCGAACGAGAAUCUACUGAAAGAGUUUUCGGACAAUGGAAGUAGAGGAAAGUGGCGGACGGGUGAGUAACGCGUGAGGAACCUGCCUUGAAGAGGGGGACAACAGUUGGAAACGACUGCUAAUACCGCAUGAUGCAUAAGGGUCGCAUGAUUCUUAUGCCAAAGAUUUAUCGCUUCAAGAUGGCCUCGCGUCUGAUUAGCUAGUUGGCGGGGUAACGGCCCACCAAGGCGACGAUCAGUAGCCGGACUGAGGGGUUGAACGGCCACAUUGGGACUGAGAUACGGCCCAGACUCCUACGGGAGGCAGCAGUGGGGAAUAUUGGGCAAUGGGCGCAAGCCUGACCCAGCAACGCCGCGUGAAGGAAGAAGGCUUUCGGUAUGUAAACUUCUAUCAGCAGGGAAGAAAUAGACGGUACCCGACUAAGAAGACCCCGGCCAACUACGUGCCAGCCGCCGCCGU
This 510-nucleotide ribosomal RNA is filed under the name uncultured microorganism. RNAcentral's name for it is "bacterial SSU rRNA". It matches the Rfam family "Bacterial small subunit ribosomal RNA", at positions 9 to 521 of the family's 1533-position model. The record is from RNAcentral.